CGGAACGUAUCCUAAAGUGGGGGAUAGCUCGGCGAAAGCCGGAUUAAUACCGCAUACGAUCCCCGGAUGAAAAUUUGGGGAUGAAAGCGGGGACCGGCAACGGCCUCGCGCUUAAGGAGCGGCCGAUCUCUGAUUAGCUAGUUGGUGGGGUAAGCGCCUACCAAGGCGAUGAUCAGUAGCUGGUCUGAGAGGAUGAUCAGCCACACUGGGACUGAGACACGGCCCAG
Molecule: ribosomal RNA, 227 nt
Filed under: uncultured bacterium
Lineage: Bacteria
Description: partial 16S ribosomal RNA
Rfam family: Bacterial small subunit ribosomal RNA
Source: RNAcentral